UCCUACGGGGCGCAGCAGUAGGGAAUUUUCGUCAAUGGGCGCAAGCCUGAACGAGCAAUGCCGCGUGAACGAGGAAGGUCUUCGGAUCGUAAAGUUCUGUUGAAGGGGAAAAAGAGCGGAGAGAGGAAAUGGUCUCCGAUUGAUAUUACCCUUCGAGGAAGUCACGGCUAACUACGUGCCAGCAGCCGCGGUAUGCGUAGGUGGCGAGCGGUAUCCGGAAUGGUUGGGCGUAAAGGGGGCGUAAGCGGCC
RNAcentral lists this ribosomal RNA (250 nucleotides) under uncultured bacterium. RNAcentral describes it as "partial 16S ribosomal RNA". It matches the Rfam family "Bacterial small subunit ribosomal RNA", at positions 337 to 580 of the family's 1533-position model. The record is from RNAcentral.